RNAcentral lists this ribosomal RNA (415 nucleotides) under Verrucomicrobiia bacterium. RNAcentral describes it as "bacterial SSU rRNA". It matches the Rfam family "Bacterial small subunit ribosomal RNA", at positions 1 to 395 of the family's 1533-position model. The record is from RNAcentral. Lineage: Bacteria; Pseudomonadati; Verrucomicrobiota; Verrucomicrobiia.
UAUACGGAGAGUUUGAUUCUGGCUCAGAACGAACGCUGGCGGCGUGGAUAAGACAUGCAAGUCGAACGCUGACAUUUAGGUAGCAAUAUUUGAAUGUCGGAGUGGCGCAAGGGUGUGUAACACGUGAGUAAUCUGCCGUGAAGUCUGGAAUAACUCGCUGAAAGGCGAGCUAAUGCCGGAUGUGAAAGCUGGGAGGCAUCUCUUGGUUUUCAAAGCUGGGGACCGCAAGGCCUGGCGCUUCAUGAUGAGCCCGCGGCCUAUCAGCUAGUUGGUAAGGUAACGGCUUACCAAGGCUAAGACGGGUAGCUGGUCUGAGAGGACGACCAGCCACACUGGAACUGAGACACGGUCCAGACACCUACGGGUGGCAGCAGUCGAGAAUUUUUCUCAAUGGGCGAAAGCCUGAAGGAGCGAC